GGGGUUCAAUGAUAAAUCAUGUACUAUUGAACACUCCACUUGUUCUUGUAUUUAAGUAACUCCCCGUUUAAUCAUUUGGCUUAGCACCUUUACAGUGCCAACAUGUGACUUAGCUGUGACUUUAGCUCUAUAACCACUGAGUUCCAUAAGAUCGAUUCUCCAAAUAUAGACAUCACUCACGUUGCCGUACUAUAAUCUAUCUGAAUUUCUUUACUCCUCCCACUUUCACUUAAGGACAUCUGAGUGGUUAGACUCAUGAACCAAUCACAGGAGAAAGCACUAUUUUUAAAGAGACGCAGUACUCUUCUCAGUACCCCCUUGAAGAGCCAUUUGUAGGUGAAACGCACGUUGGGGCUCUCUGUGUAUGCUGUAGGCAGAGAGGCCUAAUAAAAUCACA
Non-coding RNA from Pelobates cultripes (western spadefoot toad), 397 nucleotides. NCBI's taxonomy places the organism in Eukaryota, Metazoa, Chordata, Amphibia, Anura, Pelobatidae. The record is from the annotation of a GenBank genome assembly.